UCGUCCUGCGCGGAAGAUGUAACGGGGCUCAAGCCAUGAACCGAAGCUGCGGAUGUGUCUUUGACACGUGGUAGGGGAGCGUUCCGUAAGCCUGCGAAGGUGUCUCGUAAGGGAUGCUGGAGGUAUCGGAAGUGCGAAUGCUGACAUGAGUAGCGAUAAAGGGUGUGAAAAGCACCCUCGCCGUAAGCCCAAGGUUUCCUGCGCAACGUUCAUCGGCGCAGGGUGAGUCGGCCCCUAAGGCGAGGCAGAAAUGCGUAGUCGAUGGGAAACAGGUCAAUAUUCCUGUACCGCUCUUAGAUGCGAUGGGGGGACGGAGAAGGUUAGCUCGGCCAUCUGUUGGAAUAGGUGGUUUAAGCGUGUAGUCGUGCCUGGUAGGCAAAUCCGCCGGGCUGAGAUGAGGCGUGAUGACGAGGCCUUUCGGAGCCGAAGCGAGUGAUACCCAGCUUCCAGGAAAAGCCUCUAAGCUUCAGUCUAAGAGUGACCGUACCGCAAACUGACACAGGUGGGCUGGUAGAGAAUACCAAGGCGCUUGAGAGAACUCAGGAGAAGGAACUCGGCAAAUUGAUACCGUAACUUCGGGAGAAGGUAUGCCCCUGGUACGUGAAGGCCCUCGCGGCCGGAGCGGAACGGGGUCGCAGAGAAUCGGUGGCUGCGACUGUUUAUUAAAAACACAGCACUCUGCAAACACGAAAGUGGACGUAUAGGGUGUGACGCCUGCCCGGUGCCGGAAGGUUAAGUGAUGGGGUGCAAGCUCUUGAUCGAAGCCCCGGUAAACGGCGGCCGUAACAAUAACGGUCCUAAGGUAGCGAAAUUCCUUGUCGGGUAAGUUCCGACCUGCACGAAUGGCGUAACGAUGGCCACACUGUCUCCUCCUGAGACUCAGCGAAGUUGAAAUGUUUGUGAAGAUGCAAUCUCCCCGCGGCUAGACGGAAAGACCCCAUGAACCUUUACUGUAGCUUUGCAUUGGACUUUGACGGGACUUGUGUAGGAUAGGUGGGAGGCUAUGAAACCGGGACGCCAGUUCCGGUGGAGCCAUCCUUGAAAUACCACCCUGGUGUCGUCGAGGUUCUAACCCAGGCCUGUGAAUCCAGGUCGGGGACCGUGCAUGGUGGGCAGUUUGACUGGGGCGGUCUCCUCCCAAAAGGUAACGGAGGAGUACGAAGGUCACCUAGGUACGGUCGGACAUCGUACUGAUAGUGCAAUGGCAAAAGGUGGCUUGACUGCGAGACCCACACGUCGAGCAGGUGCGAAAGCAGGUCAUAGUGAUCCGGUGGUUCUGUAUGGAAGGGCCAUCGCUCAACGGAUAAAAGGUACUCUGGGGAUAACAGGCUGAUUCCGCCCAAAAGU
RNAcentral lists this ribosomal RNA (1347 nucleotides) under metagenome. RNAcentral's name for it is "bacterial LSU rRNA". It matches the Rfam family "Bacterial large subunit ribosomal RNA", at positions 1154 to 2499 of the family's 2925-position model. The record is from RNAcentral.